RNAcentral lists this ribosomal RNA (463 nucleotides) under uncultured Alphaproteobacteria bacterium. RNAcentral describes it as "bacterial SSU rRNA". It matches the Rfam family "Bacterial small subunit ribosomal RNA", at positions 224 to 704 of the family's 1533-position model. The record is from RNAcentral. Lineage: Bacteria; Pseudomonadati; Pseudomonadota; Alphaproteobacteria.
GAGGGGCCCGCGUCGGAUUAGGUAGUUGGUGGGGUAACGGCCUACCAAGCCAUCGAUCCGUAGCUGGUCUGAGAGGAUGAUCAGCCACACUGGGACUGAGAUACGGCCCAGACUCCUACGGGAGGCAGCAGUGGGGAAUAUUGGACAAUGGGGGCAACCCUGAUCCAGCAAUGCCGCGUGAGUGAUGAAGGCCUUCGGGUUGUAAAGCUCUUUCGGCGGGGAAGAUGAUGACGGUACCCGCAGAAGAAGCCCCGGCUAACUUCGUGCCAGCAGCCGCGGUAAGACGUAGGGGGCCAGCGUUGUUCGGAAUUACUGGGUGUAAAGGGUUCGUAGGCGGUGUAGCAAGUCGGGAGUGAAAUCUUUGGGCUUAACCCAGAGGCUGCUUCCGAAACUGCUGUGCUUGAGUGUGGGAGAGGCGCGUGGAAUUGCAGGUGUGGCGGUGAAAUGCGUAGAUAUCUGCAGG